Phasianus colchicus (ring-necked pheasant) is the source of this 7337-nucleotide non-coding RNA. NCBI's taxonomy places the organism in Eukaryota, Metazoa, Chordata, Aves, Galliformes, Phasianidae. The record is from RefSeq and is a predicted model, not a curated record.
AGCAAUUACACAUCACAAGCACCUGCUGAGCAGCGUGCAGGUCUCUUCAACUCAUGUUCUCUAGGGUGGGGAGGCCUAGCAGGUGUGUAAUGAGCUGCAGCUGAGCCUAAUCAGUGUGAGAUGCAGAAAACCUGCUGGUGAGUCAGCACUGAUCUUUUUGUGCCUUUGUGGAGACAGUGUGCUGGAGUCUACAGAAAUACAGCAUGUCUUAGGAAGUCUGAGCUUGUGUCGAGUUUUGUUGGACCUAGUCGGGCUCAAGCCCAUCAUCAGGAGUUGCUCUACUCUUUGUUGCGUUUCCAGGCAAGCAGCGUUGGAUUGUUGCAGUGAAUUCCUGCCUUAAGAUUGGCUUCAUCUCAAGGACAAGAGAAGACGACCUCAAGGGCACCUGGAUACUGGGGAUCAGCUGGGGAUGAAGUGGCACCUGUAUGCAAUACAUCUCUCUGGAAGGACAUGAUACGGGUUGGAAAGUCAAGCUGAGGAUUACAUCUGGAAUGUACAUAGGCAUGAACCCUAAUGAAGAUGAAGUGCUACUUUUUUUUUUUGCUUUUCUUUCCUCAUAAAGGAGAGUUCUUCAAAGACUUCCUGAUGUCCUAAUCUCUGAUGUUUUGAGAUGAUUAUUUGCUAUCAAGCCACUUCUGUAUUGGGUGGUGGUGUAGAUGUUUGCCUAGCAAUUAGUCCAAUAGACGAUGUGACAAACAACUUGUUUCCAGUGUAUAUGCAUAUUUUUAGGUACCUUUGACCACUAGUUAUUUACUGCUUCCCUGUUCCUCUUAGUUUUACUCAUACUACCUGGCAGACUAAGGUACUAGUUAGACUGAGCAAAAGUGACAAGACCAAUCAUCAAUGAGUGCUCUCUUAGCAACGAGAGGAUCUGUUCUCAUUGCAGAAUUGGCAGCAGAGGUCUUGAUAAAAACAAAUGUGCAAGAAAGAUAGCAUGAGUGCCUUACAGAGAAUUUGAAGGAUCCAGGCUUGGUUAAAGCAAAUCUCUUUCAAUGGCAAUGUGACCAGGGUCUGGCUGCAUGGUCUGCUCAUACCUGACCUUACAGUAGGAGAUGUACGAGUUCAUUGUCCAGAAUGCUGUCUGUUACAUCCUCCAUGCUUCCCAGUGAUCUUUACACAUAUAACUUAGUUAAAAGGGCUAUGAAUUAUAGUGGCUCUUCAUAAGAGAAAAAGGGUAGAAUUUCUUAGUGAUUUGGCUUUGUGUAAUGAAAGUUUUUACAUACAGUGUGGGCAGAAAUUUCUCUGGAUAGGUUUUUAAAUUAGUCUCAUAAUGCUGCUCUCUUUCAGCAUUGAGCUGCAGUGAAUUUUCCAGUGAGAUGUUAAAGGCUGCAACUAUACUUUUUUUGUGCUGAGAAUCAAAUGGUCAGUUGAGGCAGAGAGAGAGGAGUUCCUCUUCAGGGUGUUGGAGAGUUGCAAUAUUAUAUUCCCUCUGCUCUAUAGAUCUACUGUUGAUGCUGUAGAGGAAGAGAGCUGUAAAUGCUGUUGGGCUUGGUGGUCUGAAGAGUGAACACUCCUCCGUUUCUCUAGGACCUAGCUUUUAGGUCCUAAUAGUCCUGACAUAUCAGAUGAUGCAGUAGGAUUGAAGCUGGUACUUUGAUCUUCAGGGAAAUUAUGCUGAGCUAUUCUUAGAGCAUUUCUAUUGUGUGUGGGGAGGAAAGUCUAGUUUAGGGAAAUGACAUAGCAGGCUAUCAGUGCUGGUGUGAAACUGCUAGCAAGUGGAGAUGGUGAUGGAAAGUGUUAGGUGGGUUUUGCUGCCACACUGGUGCAGCUGACUUGUUCCCUCACUCACAUAAAGGAGAAGUAGGACCUGCCAUUGGGCUGCAGUGAGAAUUAGGCUUUGUUGCGGAGCAAGAGUGUGUAACAGGAACGGCAAGCCUGAAGUGAUGCCUUAGGCUGAGGUUUUACACAGAACUUCUGCAGAAGCCAGGGCAAUGCUAUUUUAACUUUCUAGGUGUGAUCCUUAGCCAGUGUGAAUGAUUUCAGUGCAGCUGUUAGAAACUGUUAGAAAGGGGAUGAAGGGGCCUUUGAAAUAUUGUGCCCUGCCACGGCCUGGGAUUAGUUUUUAACAGCAUACUUGGAGAAUAAUUAUCUGAUCUUGUAUUCUCUGAUGCCAUCUUUGUAAUACUGCACUGGCCUUAGCUUUAGGGGUGUUUGUGUUUGUUUUGUUUUUCUCCCUGUAGUGUCAGACCAGCAGUUCUUGAACAGACCUCAGCAUAGAAUAUGGUUUUCCUCACUAUCUUUCCAGCUGGGCUAAUGCUAAUAUAUGUAGAAUGGGGGAGGGAGGGAGUUCAUGUAUAACGUAGCUACCUUUUGCUGGAGGAUCUUGCAAACAUUGCUGGAGUUUUGCGUGGGGAAAGAAUGAGUAACAGCCUUGGUAUGGGAAGAAAGCUCCAGCUAUGGAUCCAUCCUAGAGAAACUCUUGUCUUGAUUGUAGUACAACUCAAGUUUUCUGCACAGAAUAAAGAGGACAAAGUGAUUAGUCUACAACCACAUUCUUGACAAGAAGUGUUUAAAAAAAAAAAAGUGUAUAAUUGAGCAUAAGUACUCUAAUAUUUGUCUCUGUUUCCUCAGUUCCCUCUCUUUGUAAAUUAUAAAGUAGGGAUUUCCCCAGAGUUAUAAUUUAAUUUGACCUUCUAGUGGAGGAGCUUUAUCACAACACUGAUUCCAAAUGAGCACGUGUUACCUCCAGUUUUGACUGGAGACUACAGUGAGUGCACGGCCACUGCUUGUGUGUCCUGUCCAGUCCCCCCAGCCACCUCCAGGGUUAGCUCUGCAAGAAUAAUUGGUGCCUCAUCUUCUCUCCCACUCAUAUGGUCCCCCUUCUUCCUUAUCAGUUCUUAGAGGACCACAGAUGGGAUGUGUGAGUGUCCUUUUGCUAUGACCUCAGUGGUACACAGAAGUAUGGGGGCUCCUGAUGCCUGGCUCCAGCUUCUUUCACAGAUUUGGACCUUUUUGGGGCUGUUCUUUAAACAAUUGAUCAUUUGAAACAACUGCUUUGAGUGCUAUAUUAAAAUGAUGGUACCUCAUCUUAUGCAUGUCGUAUACAAAGUUCUUCACGCAUGUGAAAAUAAGGCUAAUAAUUAAUUCUCACAGCUCUAGCUAUGAAAGAUGAUUGCUUUUCUCUGAAAGGAGCAUACUGAUCUGAACAAACCAGGAGACCAACCAAGGGUGUUUUUCCUACAGCAUUUUGAAAAUAUAAAUAGAUUGUGACAUUUCUGUUUUAUGAGGGCACUUGAAGUCCAGAGAGGUCAGAAAAGCCCAUAGGUACUGAAGCUCUAUUCACCUUCUGUUGUAGGUGCUGAGUCCAUACUGGAGGUUUCUGCACAGCUGAGAUCCGUCAGAGCCCAAUCUUGCUUUCACACCAGCUUAUUUUUGAAAACAUUUCUAGUAGAACAAUAUGAUACAUUAUGAGACGAGCAGCCCAGCUGAUGAAGUGCAGGAUGAAAGUGGCUCAUCUCUUUGCUCUUUUACUUUAGAUUUAGCACUGCAAAAUCACUUUUCCCUGUGAAAGCACUCGAUUUAUACCAGCACUCCAGGAGACAGUUUGCAAGGCACUGAAAAAUUUUGCUGUACUCUUGAGCAAACAGUCACUUUCCCCCACCACUGCCACGUGCACCAUUUAGACGUGCUAUGAGCACAGAGGCACUGAUGGGAGGCUUCCUCCAGCUCUGUGCGAUGGCAAUGCUCCCUCCAGGAGAGAAACUACACUGGAGAAGAGAGUUCAAAUGGGAUAAUCCAGAGAAGUUUCAUUCAUUCAGCCAGUGGAGGGUUUGCCAAACUAGCACCUUCCAAAAUUUCUAAGACUUGUGUGGAGCUAAAGAGUAGAGAACCUUAAAGAGGUUACAGGUAGCAGACUUUUCCCCAGCUGGAGAGGCACCACUGGUGUCCUGCUGAGUGGAUUGCUGGUACCUGGGUCCUGCCAGCAGGAUGAUGGGUCUUGAGGAAGCAGGAGGUAUCUGCAUAAGCAGUGGGGAAGAUGAGUCACCUUUUUAUUCAGUUGAGUGCAAUGUGAUAGGUGCGUUUGGCUUAGCAGUCAGAUCUUGUAGGGUUGAUUUCAAAAGCAGUUUGUUUUCUUUCCAUUAAUCUGUUAAGUGUUUUUUCUGCUUUAUUGGAGGCAGAAGGAAAUACAAGUUCAUUCCACUCCAUUCACCUUUAAAAAUGUGUGAAUGAUGCAUGGCUGAUGGGGUGCUGAUGCAUCACCACUUCCCUGGGCUUUGCUGCAUUCACUUACUCAUCCACGUUUUUUCUGGCUAGAGCUGUCUGAACAAACUAGGUGAACCAGGACAGGAUGACUGGCAGAGCUCUGUCACCAUGCAGGGUGUUUUUUUUUUUUUCCUUAUGCAUAAAACAGUGACAUCACUGCGAAGCAGACUUCAGUCUGAGUGCAGCUCUCUUCCUUGGCACAUCCAUGGAUGAGGAAUGAGUUCAGGACUUCUGUGUGCACACAGGUUGCGUAGCUGAGGAACAGGAGUAAGCAUGACACUGUCUCCUAAUCAGGGGUGAAACAUUUCCUGCCUAUCUGAAUUUAUGGUUGUGGUAGGAGUUGCACUGUCUUCAGGAGUUAGAGGUUAAUCUUUUAGACAUUGUUGUUCCCAUCUCCUAUAGAAACAAUACUUGCGUUGCAGGAAUGUGUGAUCAAAUUUAUUUAUUGCACCAUUUAAAUCAAUUAUGUUGUAAUAACUUCUACCCUAAAUAGGAUAAGGUGCAUAAAGCCAUAAGAUCCUUUUAAAAUGUUUCUUUAAACUUAUGAUUUUCUCCUUGAGAAGUACAGGGCUGAAGUAAAUGCACUGCCUAAGCGAGCAAUGAAAAUUACAGUCUAAAAAAUCAAAUGCCAAAAUGCCCAAAGCUUUCAUGACUUGGAACAAAAAGAAGAAAAGAUCUGUCUCUAUUUCAGCUGCCCACUGCUUUACCAUAUAUGAAGGUGACCCUGCACAGCCCUUUUCCCAUGUUUUAUAAUGGAGCAGGGCAGGCUGUAAGUGGUUGAUGCCAAGGGGAUAGGUUUUCAAUUGGUUUCAACCCCAGGCAUGUUCCCAGAACUGCUGGCACUGUGCAUCCCACCUGGGGGCCUGGCAGCCAAUGUGCAAUCAUCACCUGCUGUCAGCGAGCCUGUUACGUGCCUUUGACCUAGAAAGAUAAUAAUAUCCUGAUAACAAUAACAGAGCUUGUGUGAGAUGAUGGAUUCUGCCAUGUGCAAGAGCUGGUCUUGAGGGGACCUGAACUGGGAGCUAUGUAGGUUUUGUGAUCCAAAGGAAAUAAUAAGCAUGUGGCAGCUCUGUACCAGCAUGGCUCUGUGUCUACACUCCUCUUUCUGUCUCUGCCCCUCUCUACCUGCCAUUGCUUUCCUGGGGUCAUCCAUAGUGGCCAAUACAUCAUCCAAGGCUGACCUUUACAGAUAUAAUGUCAUCUCUGCCCAUCUGUAGCAGAGUCAAGGGCACCACCUUCUUUGAACAGCAGGUAGAGAAGAUGGUAUCUGCUCAAACAAAAUGCAGCUACUCCUAAAAUGUUUCCUCAGUGACUGUGCUGAAGCCCACUUAAUCUAGAAAAUAAGUCAUCAGUGCUCUGCUGAUAAUGUGCAAGAGCAGGGGAGAUAUAUAAUGAAUAGAUGAUGUUUGAUCUUUAGGGUGAUUCUUCAUAAUUACGCAUAAAAAGCUAAGUGGAAAAAUGACCGAGUGAGGCUUCUCUCUGCACUUGAUGACUUUGGCUCCUGGGGAAAGCCUUUGAGUCACCCUUAUGCAGGUCUAGUAUGUGAGAGGAGCAGAAGAAGAAUGUUAGAGUCAUCCUAGGUGCAAAACCUGUGGAGUAAUGCAUAGAAGGAGCAGGAAGUGUCGUGUUUCCCCAUAAGCAAAGCAGAAGCAAAUCCCCUAUAUGAAAGGGGUGUUUCUUGUGAGGGAGAAUAUCAAAUCUAGUGAUAACCAAAGGAAGCUUUUCUUCUCUUAUGGCCAUGAGUGGCUCAGAAUUAGAUCAGGUAGAGAAACUGUAAGUGUGCUUCAUCCAUCAUACAUGUCAGCUUUUUGAAAAGUCAUCUCUGCAAUAAACAGAAAAGGUUAUCUUCCAACUACAUAAAGCUUUGUCCAGUAAACAAACUUUUUUUUUUGAGGAACUCUCCUGCCAGGGAAUAGGGGAAAGAUCCAGCUUUCAAUCAAUGUCUUUUACCACUCUAUUUUUUUUUCCUGUUCAUUUUCCCAUUUGUUCCUUUCAAUCACAGAUUUCCUUGUUCUUUCUCUUGAACGAACUUUUACAAAAGAUGAGAGUACAGGAAAUAAGGCUAAAGAGUGUUGUCUACUGGUCCUCCUCAUCUUUGAGCAGUUACCUCUGAGUCAGUAUUUAGUAUCAACUAGGUUUGAUUAAAAAGACGGAUGUCACAAAUACAUUUACCCAAAUACAGUAAGCUUUAUGAGAAAUGAAAGCUGAAGAUCAGCUAAUGAAGAAAAAUCAAUAGUUGGAUAGUUUGCUACUUUGCACGUGGUACACAACUGGACUAUCAACAUAAAACGUGUAUCUUUUAAAACCGUGAUCUAUACUGCUUCUUGCAGGGAGGCAAGUGGAGCCAGGACAGCUGGCCUGAAUUGGGGAAGUGGUCAUUCCAUACUGUAUAAUAUCACAUGGAAAGCUAUAAGCUGUGGGGAGUUGGCCAGGGAGCAGCUGCUGCUCAAGGAUUUGCAGUGUUGUUUGGUGGGGGGUAAGCUGUUGCCUUGAUAGCAUGGUGUUGGUUGGUGGGCAGAUGUGGUGUUAGUUGGAUGCUGGUUGAUGAGUAAUUGCAUUGAGGCUACAUAUGUUCAUAUCAUUGUAUGUUUGUUUCUGUUUUCCUCUUCCGUCUUAGUAAAUAGUUUUUAUCUCCAUCUACAAUUUCUGUUUUUUAUAGUUCUCUCCUUCAUCCCACUUACUGGGGAGAGAGCAAAUGUGUUGUUGAGCUGCCUGCUGGGUUAAACCACAUCAGAUUACCAGAUUGGCCAAUGCUGUUACUGACGGAGGUGACAACAGUGAAAUGAGCAGCAGGAACUAGGCUGAGUUGUUCUUUAGGUCUCAUGGUUUCUUGGUAAUUUCAGGAAGUCAAAGACUGGAGAAUCAUAUGGCUUUCUUAAAAUUUGUUUUUUGAUGUCUUGUGCGAGAACUUUAAAUAUAUAUAUAGUAAACAAAAGAAAAGGGAGCUUUCCUUUUAUUAAUAAAUUUCAAUUUGAAAGUGCUGAAUCUUUUAUUAAGGAAAUGUAAAAAGCAGAAGUUCCAAGGAAGAUGUGUGAAUAUAUUUUUCUGGUAAAUAAUUCAGCAAAAAAUCAAGUUUGUGCAGAAUUACUAACCUUGUUUUUACUCAAAGACAAUUCCAUGCAAAAAAAAAAAAA